Hippocampus comes (tiger tail seahorse) is the source of this 108-nucleotide small nuclear RNA. The record is from Ensembl. NCBI's taxonomy places the organism in Eukaryota, Metazoa, Chordata, Actinopteri, Syngnathiformes, Syngnathidae.
GUGUUACUUCGGUAAUACGCAUACUAAAAUUGGAACGAUACAGAGAAGAUUAGCAUGGUUUCCCUGCGCAAGGAUGACACGCACAAUCGUGAAGCGUAUCCAAUUUUU